This 251-nucleotide ribosomal RNA is filed under the name uncultured bacterium. RNAcentral's name for it is "partial 16S ribosomal RNA". It matches the Rfam family "Bacterial small subunit ribosomal RNA", at positions 525 to 775 of the family's 1533-position model. The record is from RNAcentral.
ACGUAGGUCACAAGCGUUGUCCGGAAUUACUGGGUGUAAAGGGAGCGCAGGCGGGAAGACAAGUUGGAAGUGAAAUCCAUGGGCUCAACCCAUGAACUGCUUUCAAAACUGCUUUUCUUGAGUAGUGCAGAGGUAGGCGGAAUUCCCGGUGUAGCGGUGGAAUGCGUAGAUAUCGGGAGGAACACCAGUGGCGAAGGCGGCCUACUGGGCACCAACUGACGCUGAGGCUCGAAAGUGUGGGCAGCAAACAG